Molecule: ribosomal RNA, 110 nt
Filed under: Scophthalmus maximus (turbot)
Lineage: Eukaryota; Metazoa; Chordata; Actinopteri; Pleuronectiformes; Scophthalmidae
Source: RNAcentral
GCUUACGGGCCACACCGCCUGGUAUACGCUUGAUCUCGGAAGAUAAGGUAGGUUGGGCCUGGUUAGUACUUGGAUGGGAGACCGCCUGGGAAUACCAGGUGCUGUAAGCU